Molecule: long non-coding RNA, 1894 nt
Filed under: Hordeum vulgare
Lineage: Eukaryota; Viridiplantae; Streptophyta; Magnoliopsida; Poales; Poaceae
Description: long non-coding RNA (HVUL_LNC011258)
Source: RNAcentral
CAGGAAUUGUUCUUUCAGACCAAGGAAAAAUUAUGCAGGGGGAUGUUUGUGGAAAUUAUAAGUUGUCAAGUAGAUUAAGAUAGAGGGUGCAGUCAAGUGCAGUGGAGAUUCAGAGUCAUAUCAGCAAUGUGACGGCAGAAGCAAAAGAAACCCGUUUUCGUCAUACCUGAGAUUGCCUGUACUGUAAUGGAACUCCAGGCAUCUCUCCAGACAAAACUUUGACGCCCACAUCUGCAUCCAUUUCACAAGUCAAACACAAUGAAAUUAUACUCAGAUGGAACUUGGUUAGGCAUUCGCGACACAAUCAGGCAUAGUGCUUGCUGUUCAGUAUUCUUGAUGUCAGCUAGAGCAAAUGGGCAGAGAGUUUCAGAUUUUAGCUAACUAUAAUCAUCAUCAUUAUUCUGUGAGGCUAGCCUAGCUUGAGCUUCAGGUUUUGCAAUGCAGUAGGUAAAGAUAACCAAAAUGAGGGAUCCCAGUUUCCAGAGCAAUUAUUUACUAAACUGACUGUACGACUGAAUGAUUCAGUUUCAGAGGGAUUAUUUUCAGAGCCCCAAGAAAGUAACCACGGCAAGUUCUAGUGUAUCGAACUAAGGAUGAUCUAGUAAUUUACUGUACUAAUGUUAGUCUCUUAGUAUUAUCUGAUCCUUGAUAAAAACAAAAAUUCCUCUUCAAAUACAAGUGCAGAAACCUUACAUCCUUGACUGAAUAAUUUGAAGUCAUCAACUGUAGAAAACAAGAAAAGGUAGUAAUCAGCCUUGGUGAUUGCUGAAGAUCUUUCUCCAUACUUCUAGGUUCUAGCUUUGCUCUACAUAUGGAUGGUUUAGGGAUUCUGAAAAGCAACAGUAACAAAAUGUGGUAAAAACUUACUUGAUCCAGACAACAACCUGAUUCGAAAUAUAACAUCAGGAUUUGCUUUUUCAGACCAAGGACAAACUAACUAUGCAGGGGAAUGUUUGUGCAACUUAUAAGUUGUCAAGAAGAUCAAGGUAGAAAGUGCAGUCAUGUGCACUGCAAAUUCAUCGUUAUAUUGGCAAUGUGACAGCAGAAGCAAAGGAAAACCGUUUUCGUCAUACCUAAGGUUGCCUGCACUGUAAUGAAUGGUCAGCUUCUGAAGAUGAGAUAAUUCAUCCUCCCCUGCCUCUCUGGAUGCAGUAUACAAGUAAGAUAUCAACAACAUAAACUCGACCCGUUGAAAUCCUGUUGAGAAAACUUAUUUAUUUAUCUGACAUUUUUAGGCCGAGUUGCACAAAAAGGAAGAUGUUUCCAGUAGUAAUAAAGUACUGCUUUGUACACCAAACUCCAGAGUCCAACACAUUUUUUUUUCGAAAAGGAGGCCUCGCCCCAGAGUCCAACACAUGGAACAAGCAAGUACAUUCAGAAACAAAGUAGUACAGUGCAGAUAAAAAUAGUGUCUCACUGCAAGUUGGCACAAGCAGAUCAGCUUAAACCUGUUGUAUGCAAACUCUUGUUGUGAGUUGUGACAGCAUAACCAAGCAGCACUACUCUACAGGCUCAUCAAAGUUCCAAACAGCCUAACAACCAGAUUUUAUACCAAACAACAGAUUUCACUGCUAAACUCUUGGAAUAAUACAAAGACAGUAGCAUUAGUCGCAACUCGCAAGUGUUGUAGAUUUGCAAGGUCAGAUAACUAUUGACAAAUCAGACUGAAGAACAACACUGUCAGCUGUCAUGCUGGAUUCAGAUAUAACAGUGAGAGUUGAAGAGAAAGUGAUAAACAAACCAGAUGGCGACGUUAAAACAGAAGGAACCGCCAUUUGCCAUAAAUUCGAGACAAACCUGCAAGCUGAUACCCUUCUGCCCAGGAUGCAAAAAAGAGCAGAGCCACCAGGCAAGAUACUUAUAUCCUUGACAACUUUAUACAUGCUUCAUGGCU